AGUGAACGCUGGCGGCAGGCCUAACACAUGCAAGUCGAGCGGCAGCGGGUCCCCGCGAGGGGAUGCCGGCGAGCGGCGGACGGGUGAGGAACACAUCGGAAUCUGCCUGGUUGUGGGGGAUAACGUAGGGAAACUUACGCUAAUACCGCAUGCGACCCUGAGUCGACGGACUGGGGGUGAAAGUGAGGGACCUUCGGGCCUCACGCGACCAGAUGAGCCGAUGUCGGANAGCUAGUUGGCGGGGUAACGGCCCGCCAAGGCGACGAUCCGUAGCUGGUCUGAGAGGAUGAUCAGCCACACUGGGACUGAGACACGGCCCAGACUCCUACGGGAGGCAGCAGUGGGGAAUCUUGGACAAUGGGCGCAAGCCUGAUCCAGCCAUGCCGCGUGGGUGAAG
RNAcentral lists this ribosomal RNA (397 nucleotides) under uncultured bacterium. RNAcentral describes it as "bacterial SSU rRNA". It matches the Rfam family "Bacterial small subunit ribosomal RNA", at positions 30 to 410 of the family's 1533-position model. The record is from RNAcentral.